Molecule: non-coding RNA, 72 nt
Organism: Mesocricetus auratus (golden hamster)
Lineage: Eukaryota; Metazoa; Chordata; Mammalia; Rodentia; Cricetidae
Source: Rfam
GGGGAGAUUGUUCAGUUGUUGAGAGCGCUGGCUGUUCUUCCAGAGGACCUGGGUUCAAUUCCCAGCACCCCA